GUAGAGAAACCGCAGGUGUAAGGGAGGAACCCAGGGCCGGCACCGCAGACUCCCAGAGAGCGCCGCGCUAAGGUUCUGUGACCUUGAACGAGAGUAAGAAAAAGCAUGCAAACACAUAUGAGAGGGACCUAGGUAGAAAUAACACACAAUGCGCAGAAGAGGAAAAAUUUAAUCCUAUCCUGUGAGGAAGCUCAAAUGGCUUGCUAAAUCUUAGUCUGUAGCGGAGACUGGACUUCAUCUAGAUCUGUGAAAUCAAGAUGAGGAAACCGAGGCUCAGAGAUGCAAAACAACGUGCCUAAAAUCAAACAACUGAAGAGCACACCAGAGAACUGCAGUGAUGGACUGUACCAGCUACAGCCAUAGUUCAUCGAAUCUGACAGAGAAGUAACACUGAGGCCCAGAUGGGAGGAUUCAGGCGGGUCGUCGGGGCUGCUGAGGAAAUUUUGGAAAUGUCUCCGGUGGGACGAGGAGUUCCAAAAGGCAAGGUCAUUUUUUCCAGCCCAAUAUGCCACUGUGGUUAGGGACGUACUCUGCCUUCAGGCUCAAGUGUGUUCCAGAGAAAUGCACCUUCCAUUUUCAGAUGGCAAGUCAGUGUUCCCAGGGGGCUGUUAUGCUCCACAGACAACUGCUCAAGACCCUGUGUAGCUGGUCCCUGUGUGGGCUUGGCAGCUCAGCCCUGGGCUCCACGAGGCAAGGUCAGGGCUUUUGGGUUCACACCUGUCUCCCCAGCAUCCAGUACGGUGCCUCACUCAUGGCAGCUAUUUAAUGAACAAGUGUCGACUCAUGGAAUGGACUAGAUGUUAUGUUUGUUAAUUGCAGAGGUGCCUGAUGCACCUUCUAGUUUCCACAUUCUUCAGGAGUUAGGACUUCACAGGGAGGUAUUAUUUUUAUUUGACUUUGCAUUAAGCAAGUCUUUUUAUUCUGAUGCCUUGACAUCUGGGCCUUGCUGACCCUGAAGCAAUGGCGCCUCCCAUGGCUACCAGUUCUUAGAGUGAGGGAGUCAGCAACAAUCAUGACUUUCUUAUGCAAACCAGCCAAUCUGGAGCCCACAUCUCCAACCACCUCCUCUAUUAGGCUAUCUAUCACUCUCUAGGCCUUUAUCCACCUGCCCUACUCACCCCAGGGCCAGUACCAGACAACUAAGGAAGCGUCUAUGACCCCAGAGCCCACUGAAAUUAUUCAGAAUAGCCAAUCCUAUGUCCUGCUUCCCCUGUCUUACCUACUUCUUCCCACGGAAACCACAAUAAAGACUUUUGACCAUACUUCCCUCCACUG
This is a long non-coding RNA of Neofelis nebulosa (Clouded leopard), 1275 nucleotides long. RefSeq lists it as uncharacterized. NCBI's taxonomy places the organism in Eukaryota, Metazoa, Chordata, Mammalia, Carnivora, Felidae. The record is from RefSeq and is a predicted model, not a curated record. The transcript is spliced from 3 exons.